Molecule: ribosomal RNA, 714 nt
Filed under: Combretum umbricola
Lineage: Eukaryota; Viridiplantae; Streptophyta; Magnoliopsida; Myrtales; Combretaceae
Description: eukaryotic LSU rRNA
Rfam family: Eukaryotic small subunit ribosomal RNA (bases 1-102)
Source: RNAcentral
UCGCCGCCGACGACGUCGCGAGAAGUCCACUGAACCUUAUCAUUUAGAGGAAGGAGAAGUCGUAACAAGGUUUCCGUAGGUGAACCUGCGGAAGGAUCAUUGUCGAUGCCUGCAAAGCAGAACGACCCGCGAACCGUUUCUCGACACCCGGGACACCGGAGGGCGUUCGGCCGCUCGGUUUCCCGGCGCUUCCGGACGUCGGGGGUGCGGGCCACCCCCAGCGGACGGAGCACCAAACACUCCCCGGCGUGCAAAGCGCCAAGGUACUCCAACGGUAGGGCAUGCACCCGUAGGCCUGGACUCCUGCGCGCUCGGGUUGCUGCUCGGUGUCGUAAAUCUAAACGACUGUGUGAAUUGCAGAAUCCCGUGAACCAUCGAGUCUUUGAACGCAAGUUGCGCCCGAAGCCUUGGCUGAGGGCACGCCUGCCUGGGUGUCACACAUCGCGUUGCCUCCAAAGCCGUUUCCCCCGUAACAUCGCGGCGGUGAUGGUUUGGAUGCGGAAGAUGGCCUCCCGUGACCGCGCGCCACGGAUGGCCCAAAUUUGCUGCGGGGGAAGCGAAGCGCCACGGCGUCCGGUGGUCGUCAUAGCCCCCGAGGCAAUGAAGCCCGUGGUAGCCGCGAGUGUCCCCCGUCUACGGCCCUAAUCACUAACCAACGCGACCUCAGGUCAGGCGGGGCUACCCGCUGAGUUUAAGCAUAUCAAUAAGCGGAGG